UAGGGAAUCUUCCACAAUGGACGCAAGUUUGAUGGAGCAACGCCGCGUGAGUGAAGAAGGUUUUCGGAUCGUAAAGCCCUGUUGUUGGUGCAGAAGGAUAGAGGUAGUAACUGGCCUUUAUUCGACGGUAAUCAACCAGAAAGUCACGGCUAACUACGUGCCAGCAGCCGCGGUAAUACGUAGGUGGCAAGCGUUGUCCGGAUUUAUUGGGCGUAAAGCGAGCGCAGGCGGAAGAAUAAGUCUGAUGUGAAAGCCCUCGGCUUAACCGAGGAACUGCAUCGGAAACUGUUUUUCUUGAGUGCAGAAGAAGAGAGUGGAAUUCCAUGUGUAGCGGUGGAAUGCAUAGAUAUAUGGAGGAACACCAGUGGCGAAGGCGACUCUCUGGUCUGCAACUGACGCUGAGGCUCGAAAGCAUGGGUAGCGAACAGG
Molecule: ribosomal RNA, 429 nt
Filed under: bacterium
Lineage: Bacteria
Description: partial 16S ribosomal RNA
Rfam family: Bacterial small subunit ribosomal RNA
Source: RNAcentral